CACAAAAAAAGUAAUUAUAAUACUUAAAAAUUCUGUAAUAAUAAUAAUGAUGAGGAAUGACGAGUAGUGCGUUUAUAUGAUCCUAACCGUGAUCCGAUUCGAUACACACUUUAAGCAAAUAUGUAAUAGCUGUUCUGUUCAUAAGUAGUGCAAAGCGAGCAAAAACGGUGUAGCAAUUAACUUAAUAUACAUAAAUCUAACCUACAGUAAGAAGUUACUUAUCACAGCAGCGCGAAGGUCGUUACCGUUACCGAAACCGAUAUGUACUAUUAAUUACUACACAUACGCAUUAAUUGAGCGGAGACGACACAACGGCAAGAGCAAUUAUGUACUGUGUCAGCUACUACUUAUAACCAUGUAUACAUAUGUAUGUGUUUUAAAUUACAAAUACAAUUUUCUAAACAUAUUAUCUCUAGCGAACCUGCUCGCCACACUUGUCUGUCAUAUUAUUAAAAUUUGAUGUAAGUCGCAAGGAAACCAGAACCGAACGAACAUUUUUAGAAUUAGCGAACAACCGAAUCGUGUGUUUGACUUUUUGUGUGACGCAAGGGAUUUGUUUAGGCACCUAAUUAGUGUAAUAAUAAUGACGACAUAGCGAUGAAGUUUAAUAAAAAUGAUUGCGUGAGCGUAAAUUGAAAUGGAAAGGUUUGGGAUCAAUGGACAUAAGUACACGCCCUUAGUUUCGGUUUUCACUGUCGCUUGAGCCAAAAUAAAAUCAUUCUGUACCAAUGCCUAUAAA
Long non-coding RNA from Drosophila serrata, 739 nucleotides. Lineage: Eukaryota; Metazoa; Arthropoda; Insecta; Diptera; Drosophilidae. The record is from RefSeq and is a predicted model, not a curated record.